ACCUGACUGGCUUAGUUGGUAGAGCAUGCAACUCUUGAUCUCAGGGUAUGAGUUCGAGCCCUAUGUUGGGCA
This 72-nucleotide transfer RNA is filed under the name Ailuropoda melanoleuca (giant panda). It matches the Rfam family "tRNA". From Rfam's summary of the family: Transfer RNA (tRNA) molecules are approximately 80 nucleotides in length. Their secondary structure includes four short double-helical elements and three loops (D, anti-codon, and T loops). Lineage: Eukaryota; Metazoa; Chordata; Mammalia; Carnivora; Ursidae. The record is from Rfam by way of RNAcentral.